AGUCGAACGAGAUCUUCGGAUCUAGUGGCGCACGGGUGCGUAACGCGUGGGGAUCUACCAAAGGGUACGGAAUAACUCAGAGAAAUUUGUGCUAAUACCGUAUAAUGUCGCAAGACCAAAGAUUUAUCGCCUUUUGAUGAACCCGCGUAAGAUUAGCUUGUUGGUGAGGUAAAGGCUCACCAAGGCGACGAUCUUUAGCUGGUCUGAGAGGAUGAUCAGCCACACUGGGACUGAGACACGGCCCAGACUCCUACGGGAGGCAGCAGUGGGGAAUAUUGGACAAUGGGCGAAAGCCUGAUCCAGCAAUGCCGCGUGAGUGAUGAAGGCCUUAGGGUCGUAAAGCUCUUUUACUAGGGAUGAUAAUGACAGUACCUAGAGAAUAAGCUCCGGCUAACUCCGUGCCAGCAGCCGCGGUAAUACGGAGGGAGCUAGCGUUGUUCGGAAUUACUGGGCGUAAAGCGCGCGUAGGCGGUUACCCAAGUCAGAGGUGAAAUCCCGGAGCUCAACUCCGGAACUGCCUUUGAAACUAUGUAACUAGAAUCUUGGAGAGGCGAGUGGAAUUCC
RNAcentral lists this ribosomal RNA (564 nucleotides) under alpha proteobacterium MPCa6SU_Cu06. RNAcentral describes it as "bacterial SSU rRNA". It matches the Rfam family "Bacterial small subunit ribosomal RNA", at positions 60 to 670 of the family's 1533-position model. The record is from RNAcentral. Lineage: Bacteria; Pseudomonadati; Pseudomonadota; Alphaproteobacteria.